GUGUGUGUUACAGUGUUUCAUAGGAGAAUAUGUCACUCUACCAACGGAACAAUUCAUUCAAUCAGUUUGUUAUAAAGUGUUUACCGAAAUAAAACUAUUUGUAAAGCAAGUAAAAAAGUCUAGCUAGAAAAUCGUGCUGUUAUUACCCUAAAAACUGAGGUUGCCACCACAUUGCAUCCAAGCCGAAAUAACAUUCAUUCAAUAUGGCCUCGAGCUCGAAUACGCCGAAAAUAACAGCGAUACGGCACGCAAUUCAAGGGUCUCCAAUCUGCGUUAGUUAUGGCUACGACGAGAUAACUGGGGUUUUUCUAUCGGUUGAGGACAAUCGCCUGAAAUACGAUCGCAACGCAUCCGACGAGAUCAACAACGUUUUUCUGGAUACCGGCGUAUUAGGCCUGGAAAGUGGCGACGGAGCUUACUUGGAUAUGCAUACCGGUGACAUUGAAGUGGGCAUUAGGGUAUCCUGGCCGGUAAUGAGCGAAUAUUUGAAACGAUAUGGAGUGUCACGAAAUCAUAUUCAAGAUCUAAUGAAAAAGCACAUAAAGCACGAGAAAAAGUGGAACAAAGAGAGCGCCUGAUUUGUGUGGAAUGUUGUUGGUGAAUUUGGAAUGGGAAAUUUUGUGUAAUGUUGUCAGUAGCGAUUUUCUAAGGUGAAGCAACAUCGAUAUCAGCAAUAAAUAUUUCAAUUAUUUCGAAAC
This is a long non-coding RNA of Bradysia coprophila, 698 nucleotides long. The record is from RefSeq and is a predicted model, not a curated record. NCBI's taxonomy places the organism in Eukaryota, Metazoa, Arthropoda, Insecta, Diptera, Sciaridae.